UAAAGAAUUAUCUUCAUCCAAGUUUUUACAAACAUCUUAUCUUCAUUCAUGGUUUUGAAUUUGAUAGAUAAUCGGAGGACAAAUAUCCAAAGAUGGAGGAGAGCAAGGCAGCAGUCUUCUUCCGCCUCUGCAGCAGUCUUCUUCUGCCUCUGCAUCAUUACUUAGACAGUGCUCUGAAUCGACUCAAGGGUCUACUCACUUCCGCACAACCACAGUGGUGGCGGUGGUCACGGUGGAGAUAGUGGCGCCGGUUGUAAUCUUUUUAAUCUGCACCGCCUUUUCACUAUGAAGGUGU
Molecule: long non-coding RNA, 295 nt
Filed under: Prunus persica (peach)
Lineage: Eukaryota; Viridiplantae; Streptophyta; Magnoliopsida; Rosales; Rosaceae
Description: long non-coding RNA (PPER_LNC003952)
Source: RNAcentral